RNAcentral lists this ribosomal RNA (1444 nucleotides) under uncultured bacterium. RNAcentral's name for it is "bacterial SSU rRNA". It matches the Rfam family "Bacterial small subunit ribosomal RNA". The record is from RNAcentral.
GCCUAACACAUGCAAGUCGAACGAAGCCUUCGGGCUUACUGGGGCACGGGUGCGUAACGCGUGGAAACCUGCCUUUAAGUUCGGAAUAACUCUCCGAAAGGGGUGCUAAUACCGAAUAAUGUCUUCGGACCAAACAUUUAUCGCCUUUAGAUGGGCCCGCGUUGGAUUACCUUGUUGGUGGGGGAAAGGCCAACCAAGGCGACGAUCCGUAGCUGGUCUGAGAGGAUGAUCAGCCACACUGGGACUGAAACACGGCCCAGACUCCUACGGGAGGCAGCAGUGGGGAAUAUUGGACAAUGGGCGAAAGCCUGAUCCUGCAAUGCCGCGUGAGUGAUGAAGGCCCUAUGGUUGUAAAGCUCUUUUACCAGGGAUGAUUGUGACAGUACCUUGGAGAGGAAGGUCCAGGCUAACUCCGUGCCAGCAGCCGCGGUAAUACGGAGGGAGCUAGCGCUGCUCGGAAUUACUGGGCGUAAAGCGCACGUAGGCGGCUUUUUAAGUCAGGGGUGAAAUCCCGGGGCUCAACCCCGGAACUGCCUCUGAAACUGGAUGGGUAGAAUCUUGCAGAGGCUAGUGGAAUUCCGUGUGUAGAGGUGAAAUUCGUAGAUAUUCGGAAAGAACACCAGUGGCGAAGCGACUCGCUGGACAAGUAUUGACGCUGAGUGCGAAAGCGUGGGGAGCAAACAGGAUUAGAUACCCUGGUAGUCCACGCCGUAAACGAUGAUAACUAGCUGUCCGGGCUCAUAGAGCUUGGGUGGCGCAGCUAACGCAUUAAGUUUUCCGCCUGGGGAGUACGGUCGCAAGAUUAAAACUCAAAGGAAUUGACGGGGGCCUGCACACGCGGUGGAGCAUGUGUUUUAUUUCGAAGCACCGCGCAGAACCUUACCACCCUCUGACAUCCUGGUCGCGGGGAGAGGAGACUCACCCCUUCAUUUCGGAUGUACCAGUCACAGGUGCUGCAUGGCUGUUGUCAGCUCGUGUCGUGAGAUGUUGGGUUAAGUCCCGCAACGAGCGCAACCCUCCUCUUUAGUCCCCAUCAUUUAGUUGGGAACUCUAAGGAAACCGCCGGUGAUAAGCCGGAGGAAGGUGGGGAUGACGUCAAGUCCUCAUGGCCCUUACAGCCUGGGCUACACACGUGCUACAAUGGGGAGGACAGUGGGCAGCUAUCCCGCAAGGGGGAGCUAAUCUCCAAAAGUUUUUUCAGUUCGGAUUGUCCUUUGCAACUCGAGGGCAUGAAGGUGGAAUCGCUAGUAAUCGCGGAUCAGCAUGCCGCGGUGAAUACGUUCUCAGGCCUUGUACACACCCCCCGUCUCACCAUGGGAGUUGGUUUCACUCCAAGAUGGUGCGCUAACCCGCUAGGGAGGCAGCCAACCACGGAGGGAUCAGCGACUGGGGUGAAGUCGUAACAAGGUAGCCGUAGGGGAACCUGCGGCUGGAUCACCUCCUU